AACGAACGCUGGCGGCAUGCCUAACACAUGCAAGUCGAACGAGACCUUCCGGUCUAGUUGCGCACGGCUGCGUAACGCCUGGGAACCUACCCUUAGGUUCGGAAUACUUCCCCGUAAGGGGUGCUCAUACCGCAUAAUCUCUUCCGACCAAAGAUUUAUGGCCUUUGGAUGGGCCCGCGUUGGUUUAGCUGGUUGGUAGUGUACAAGCCUGCCAAGGCGACGUUGCAUGGCUGGUCUGAGAGGAGGAUAAUCCACACUGGGACUGAGACACGGACUAGAAUGCUACGGAAGGGAGGAGUAGGGAAUAUUGGACGCGGGGCGAAAGCCUGAUCCAGCAAUGCCGCGUGAGAGAUGAAGCGGUUAGGGUUGUAAAGCUGUUUGUGCCGGGAUGAUAAUGACAGUACCGGGAGAAUAAGCUCCGGCUAACUCCGUG
RNAcentral lists this ribosomal RNA (433 nucleotides) under uncultured bacterium. RNAcentral describes it as "partial 16S ribosomal RNA". It matches the Rfam family "Bacterial small subunit ribosomal RNA", at positions 29 to 507 of the family's 1533-position model. The record is from RNAcentral.